This 73-nucleotide transfer RNA is filed under the name Thorea hispida. RNAcentral describes it as "tRNA-Trp". It matches the Rfam family "tRNA". Rfam says of the family: Transfer RNA (tRNA) molecules are approximately 80 nucleotides in length. Their secondary structure includes four short double-helical elements and three loops (D, anti-codon, and T loops). The record is from RNAcentral. Lineage: Eukaryota; Rhodophyta; Florideophyceae; Thoreales; Thoreaceae.
ACGUCCUUAGUUCAGAUGGUAGAACGUAAGUUUCCAAAACUUAGUGUCGGAGGUUCAAGUCCUUCAGGACGUG